This 254-nucleotide ribosomal RNA is filed under the name uncultured bacterium. RNAcentral describes it as "partial 16S ribosomal RNA". It matches the Rfam family "Bacterial small subunit ribosomal RNA", at positions 524 to 776 of the family's 1533-position model. The record is from RNAcentral.
UACGAAGGGGGGCUAGCGUUGCUCGGAUUUACUGGGCGUAAAGGGCGCGUAGGCGGACAGUUAAGUUGGGGGUGAAAGCCCGGGGCUCAACCUCGGAACUGCCUUCAAUACUGGCUGUCUUGAGUGUGAGAGAGGUGUGUGGAACUCCGAGUGUAGAGGUGAAAUUCGUAGAUAUUCGGAAGAACACCAGUGGCGAAGGCGACUCGCUGGACAAGUAUUGACGCUGAGGUGCGAAAGCGUGGGGAGCAAACAGG